AUGAUAAGGGCGGCGUCUCCGCGGCCUCCGUCCGCCGUGCGGCUACGCAGCCGCGGCGCCUCCUCCUCCUCCUCCGCGUGCCCCUUCAGGGCCAGGGGGUCCGGAAGUAGGGUCGCGGCGACAAGUGGGAGGAGGAGGAGGAACGUUAUCUCCUGCUGCUCGUCUGACGACCGGGAGGGGGCCCGCGGCGCGGCGCCUCCGGCUCCUUCCGACGGAUCGAUACAGCUCUACUCCCAGAUCGAGAAGGUGAUCACGGAGGCGGCAAAGCAGUCCAACCAGGGCUGGAGUUCCACCGGAGAUUGGAUCGAAAUCGAGGGGGCGUGGGUGUUGAGGCCCAAGUCCUCGGCGCCCUCGUUUGUCGUUCAUUUUAUUGGUGGGAUUUUCGUCGGGGCCGCGCCGCAGGUCACGUACCGCUACUUCCUUGAGCGUCUCGCAGACAAGGGAGCUUUGGUGAUCGCUACACCAUAUGCUAGUGGCUUUGAUCAUUUCUUCAUCGCAGACCAAGUUCAAUUUAAAUUUGACAGGUGCUUGAGAAACUUGGUAGAACCUGUGAAUGACCUUCCCACAUUUGGUGUUGGGCACUCGUUGGGAUCUGUCAUCCAUCUUCUGAUUGGAUCAAGAUAUGCUGUGCAGCGAAGUGGAAACAUACUGAUGUCAUUCAAUAACAAGGAGGCAAGCCUGGCGAUUCCAUUAUUUUCACCUGUAAUCGUUCCCAUGGCACAGAGUUUUGGCCCAAUAUUAUCCCAGCUGACAUCAUCUCCAACAAUCCGUUUUGGGGCUGAAGCGGCUAUUAAGCAAAUUGAGAAUCUAGGCCCUCCUGUUGUUAAGCAACUUCUUCCCUUGAUUCAACAACUUCCUCCACUGUAUAUGGACUUGGUAAAGGGCCGAGAAGACUUCAUCCCAAAACCAGAGGAGACACGCCGGCUGAUAAAAUCCUACUACGGAAUAUCUCGAAAUCUCCUAGUAAAGUUCGAAGAUGAUCAAAUUGAUGAGACCUCUAUCAUUGCACAAGUGCUAAGCUCAGAAUCUGCCAUUAGCUCACUGCUUGAUAUGUCGAUUCGCUCACUUCCUGGGGAUCAUGGCCUUCCAUUGCAACAGGUACUUCCUGACGUUCCACCAGGAAUGGCUGAUGCAGUAAGCCGUGGAGGUGAACUCCUGGCAAAUCUCACAACAGGCACACCAUGGGAGGCUGUUGCUAAGGAGGUAGGUACCACUUUUGGCACUGACUCUGGCGUUCGGCGAACACAGGCCCCUGAGGAUGUCAAUGCACUUGUGGAUGUAAUUGUUUCAUGGAUAGCUUCAAAUUCUGGCCCAAAACUACUUCGUUCAUGA
Molecule: ribosomal RNA, 1332 nt
Filed under: Triticum aestivum (bread wheat)
Lineage: Eukaryota; Viridiplantae; Streptophyta; Magnoliopsida; Poales; Poaceae
Description: partial small subunit ribosomal RNA
Source: RNAcentral